RNAcentral lists this long non-coding RNA (3950 nucleotides) under Bos grunniens (domestic yak). Its description in RNAcentral is "lncRNA (ENSBGRG00000017776.1)". Lineage: Eukaryota; Metazoa; Chordata; Mammalia; Artiodactyla; Bovidae. The record is from RNAcentral.
UCCCCACCCUUCAAAAUAAGUAUGAUCCACGGUCAGAGCCACUCUCCGUUUCAAAGAAACUGUUUCAUUUUAUUUAAACGUUUAACAAAUAACUUCUAUGUUUUUCUGUCAUCCACCUAAUUUCUCCUUUAGCAGUAUUCUUAUCUCUUUAUCUUUCCUUCCCUCUUAGUACUUGGAAAAAGACAAUUCUUCAACAGUGGUCUCUACCCCGAGGCAGACGGGAAAAGCCGGUCUUGUUCUCCAGGUGAUGACAGACUUCCUGUUGGCGUACCUCUUGCCCAUGUCCUUUUUAUUCAUCUUCCAAAUCGAUCUUUUUUCUGUUGGCCUUUGUCCACCUCCUGUUUCACGCAGGCUCAUUUGCUACUGGCAGUUUGAAUGGUAAACCUAAAAUAGUUUAGUUCCUGUGACUUCAUUCAAAGGCUUGUCUCGAAAUCCUUGGCUCCCUUCCUCGGCCUGUACAAGGGACCUGAUACCUAAACAAAUAGGAACGGGGUUUCUCCUAAAAUAACGCUCAAUACUUAACCUAAUCAAAUGGCAUCCAUUUGAAUACAAUGACAGUAACUCAAGCUAGUUAAUGUCAGUGACAUUAAACCAACUCCAGGAUUCAGGAGUUUUAAUGUUAGGAUUUAGAGUUAGCAGGUAGAGUGUGGCUUCACCUCUCUGCGGUAGCCCAGCUCUCCCCGUCCCUGUGAGAGGCUGUCUUCCUGCCUUCGGGGCAGCGGCAGUAGGGCCUUUGCUCAGGCUUCACCUCUCCGAGGUAGCCCCGCUCCCCGUCCCUGUGAGAGGCUGUCUUCCUGCCUCUGGGGCAGCGGCAGUAGGGCCUUUGCUCAGCUUCCGUUCUCUUGUGCGUUAGGUCUGUUGCUUAUCCAACCGUUCCAGAGUCUGGAGACUCUUUAGCUUUUUAUUUUCUGCUAAGAAGGUGGCACUGGUGUUUGGGGUUUGCUAUUGGUUUUCUGUUGCUUAUCCAACCGUUCCAGAGUCUGGAGACUCUUUAGCUUUUUAUUUUCUGCUAAGAAGGUGGCACUGGUGUUUGGGGUUUGCUAUUGGUUUUCUGUUUUGUUUUGUUUUCCUUUUUGUUCUUGGAGCUUUUGUUUCUGUUUUCUGGGUAAGGCUUACCUUGUUUUUAGUUUCUAUUCAAUGGCACAGAAAAAUCAGAAGGUUUCUUUUCUUCCAAAAUGAUUUAGCACUUAAAGGAGAUUAACUUGCGGAUCAUUAAUCCUAAUACUCUUGAGGAUGUGUUCCCCUUCUGCAUAUGCGGUUAAUUUGUGAGUUUUACUGCUAAGCCAUUGUAUCUCUCUAUCACUGGGAAGUUGUAGAAACUUCUGCCCAUGAUCUGUUGCUUUAUUUAAGGAGCUGCUGUUGCCUCCAGGAAACUCAAGAAUUUUGUAUGAGCUUUUUUUUUUCUUUCACCUCCUUUCUUUGCUCCUCAUGUUCUUCAAACCAGUGUUUUGGAAGUAUGCAUGCAAGCCUAUAAAUGAAGACCACAGGUCUUCAUGUAUGUAGCAUGUGUAUUAUAGUGUCUAGCUACAUCUGCAAACACCUUAUUCAGAGGUUUGGAUUAACAUUUCACAUGCACAUUUCAAAACAAAAGUUUUUCAGCCGUUAAACACCCCCCUUACCAAGAAGAGCAGCAUGGGCUACAUUUACCCCAAUAACAGCUACUGUUUGUUUUAAAAGUGAAUUUAAUUAUAUGUUAUACAAUAUUAUGACUACCACUGUGCAAGAAAUAAAGAAAAAGAACUUCUAUUUUCAUGAAAGUAUUUUUCAUCAGUCAUUGGUCUCAGAUAUAAGUGAAAAUACAAACUUUCUGAAUACUGUACUGUCUGAGGCACUACCUGACUUUUAAAUGUGUAGUAAAAAGAAGCUAAAUUUCUCCUUCCACUUGGUAUUUCAAGAAGAUUGAAAAUAUUCCACGUAAAAAUGAUUUGCACAAGUGAAAAGCCUGUGUGUGCACGAGAAGGAUGUCUUGGUUAUAUGUAGAGUCAUCUCACAGCACCAGUUUUCCUGUUUGGAAUUAUAAGAUGACACUGUUCUCUUUGAUUUAAAAAAAAAUCAUAACAUUUGAUACGAUCAAGGUGUAACCACUAUUGAUAUUUAGGAGACAUUUUAAAAGACCAUAAACUGACAUUGGAAAGAACACCAUGGUAGACUUUUUGUAAAUUUAUUUUGUAUUUAAUUAAAUUCAGUAUAAAGGCUGGUGAAGUGUAAUAUAAUUGUGUAAACAAAUCCUGUUAAUAGAGAGAUGUACAGAUUCGUUUUGUACUGUAUCUUGAAACUUGUGAAAUAAAGAUUCCACCUCUGGUUAUCCUGUAUGCUAAUCAUGUACCAUGGCCAGGCACCACUCCACACAGACUUUUUUAAAAACCUGAAUGAUUCAAUUUUUUAAUGAACCUUUUGGAUUUUCAGAAGCUUCUGGAAAAACAUUCAUUGGGGGCGCUUUGAAUCCAUCUUAAAUUUACUUUUAGCUAUUGAAAUUCAGAUUUCUGUAAGUUGAGUAUUAUCCUCCGGAGUACUGAGAAUAUACACUUGCCAAGAAGCGUUUCCAUGUUUAAAUCCCUGAGAUCUUGGACCUGAGUUGGCCUGUGAUAGUAAGCGUGAUUCACUUUAAUCCUGAUUUUACUAAAACUUAGCUACAGUGUGUUUAGGCGUUGCCUUUUCCCAGAAGGUUUUUACAGAGCUGCAUACCAUGCAGCACAGUGAAAUGUGCAUAGCAUGAGUAAGAGCUCAGUAAAGGGGAAACAAAGGAGAAAACAGUAUUGAAUCAGGAGUGAACACUGUACAGAGAUGCACGUCAGAGCUGGGCUACAGACACAGCCCUGACGUCCUCGAAGCCAACUCAAAAGAAGUUGUUCAGCUUAGAAGCAGCAGAUCCUUUUAAAAAGUCUGGAUGAUGCAGAUUGUGGCAGGUGAGAAGUCGCACCUCAGAUUUUACUUCUGGGAAGACAGUCAGCCACCCAAGGUGACCUUGACUAACUUUGACUGAAAUCAGAGUCGUGAGGAAGUUGCACAUCAGCUGAAACGUCCAUAGUGUGUCCGUUCCGCCUGGCGCUGGGCGUGAUCCCUGGUUGCCAGUUCACCCCUUUCUGACAAGUCAGUAAAACGAGUCCUGGGGCUUCACUGGAUCCAGCCUGGAGAAACAGCCUCUCCCUGUUCCUUGUACAACACUAAUUUUGAUUGGCCACACUAACCCUGAAAUUUAGGAGACAUUUAAAAGACCAUAAACUGACAUUGGAAAGAACACCAUGGUAGACUUUUGUAAAUUUAUUUUGUAUUUAAUUAAAUUCAGUAUAAAGGCUGGUGAAGUGUAAUAUAAUUGUGUAAACAAAUCCUGUUAAUAGAGAUGUACAGAUUCGUUUUGUACUGUAUCUUGAAACUUGUGAAAUAAAGAUUCCACCUCUGGUUAUCCUGUAUGCUAAUCAUGUACCAUGGCCAGGCACCACUCCACACAGACUUUUUAAAACCUGAAUGAUUCAAUUUUUAAUGAACCUUUUGGAUUUUCAGAAGCUUCUGGAAAAACAUUCAUUAGGGCGCUUUGAAUCCAUCUUAAAUUUACUUUUAGCUAUUGAAAUUCAGAUUUCUGUAAGUUGAGUAUUAUCCUCCGGAGUACUGAGAAUAUACACUUGCCAAGAAGCGUUUCCAUGUUUAAAUCCCUGAGAUCUUGGACCUGAGUUGGCCUGUGAUAGUAAGCGUGAUUCACUUUAAUCCUGAUUUUACUAAAACUUAGCUACAGUGUGUUUAGGCGUUGCCUUUUCCCAGAAGGUUUUACAGAGCUGCAUACCAUGCAGCACAGUGAAAUGUGCAUAGCAUGAGUAAGAGCUCAGUAAAGGGGAAACAAAGGAGAAAACAGUAUUGAAUCAGGAGUGAACACUGUACAGAGAUGCACAUCAGAGCUGGGCUACAGACACAGCCCUGACGUCCUCGAAGCCAACUCAAAAGAAGUUGUUCAGCUU